This 236-nucleotide ribosomal RNA is filed under the name uncultured bacterium. Its description in RNAcentral is "partial 16S ribosomal RNA". It matches the Rfam family "Bacterial small subunit ribosomal RNA", at positions 15 to 240 of the family's 1533-position model. The record is from RNAcentral.
GAUCCUGGCUCAGGAUGAACGCUAGCUACAGGCUUAACACAUGCAAGUCGAGGGGCAGCAUGAAAGGAGCUUCGGUUCUUUUUGAUGGCGACCGGCGCACGGGUGCGUAACGCGUAUCGAACCUGCCUCAUACUCGGGGAUAGCCUUGCGAAAGUAAGAUUAAUACCCGGCGGUCUCGGAUGGCCGCAUGACUAUCCGAGUGAAGAUUUAUCGGUAUGAGACGGCGAUGCGUCCCA